This 259-nucleotide long non-coding RNA is filed under the name Elaeis guineensis (African oil palm). RNAcentral describes it as "long non-coding RNA (EGUI_LNC025205)". The record is from RNAcentral. Lineage: Eukaryota; Viridiplantae; Streptophyta; Magnoliopsida; Arecales; Arecaceae.
UAAUAAUUAUUUUUAAAAAAAUAUUUUUAGUAACUAUAUUUAUUAAAAUUUAUUAUAAUUUGAUUAAUAAAUAAUUAUACUUACUAAAAUGUAUUGUAAUUAAAUUAAUAAGUAACAUAUAUUUAUGAAUAUUAUAAUAACUAACAAUUAACUAUCACCAUCAUAAAUAAUAAACUAAUAUUAUAUAUUACAUCAAAAAUAAAUUAUAUAAAUAACACUGCUCAAAUAUCAAAUGCAUUACAUUAAAACUAAAAAAAAA